RNAcentral lists this long non-coding RNA (1350 nucleotides) under Homo sapiens (human). RNAcentral describes it as "HSALNT0225816". Lineage: Eukaryota; Metazoa; Chordata; Mammalia; Primates; Hominidae. The record is from RNAcentral.
GGCGUUCCCUCUUACUCAUGGGAGAUCAGCCUUUAUGUUCUAUUCAGACCUUCAGCUGAUUGGCCACUUUCGCCCUCUCCUUGUGGUCCUGUCAAACUCCUGGGAAGGUGGGGAACACUUGCCCUCCUACUUCCUUGCCUGCCUCAGCUCCUCGGCCCACUCCACUUGAGCUUCUGCCUCCUGCACUGUCAUUGGGUGAGUGGCUGAUGGCUCACUGACUGCCAAGUCCAGUGGACAUGGGCAGCCACACCUUACUUGACCUCUUUGGGACUCUCAGCCCUGCUGGCCUUGUCCCAUCUUCGGUCCCUCCCAAGGGCUUCUGAGGUGCCACCGUGCACUGCUGGUGUUUUCACAGCACUGACUGCCACUUUCUGGCUGGCCCCUUCAUCUUGUUUGCUGACUCCUGGUCUUGUGUUUCAGCCUCUAACCCUGGUGUUACCAGAGAUGUUGUAGGUUCUCUUUCAUCCUUGACCUUUUCCGUGGGGUGGGUCACAUCCUUUCUGCCCACUCACCAAUGGCCCUCAAACCUGCCCCACAUCCUUGACUUCUGCCUGUGUUCCCAACCUGUCUCUCCCACUGUUUCUGGACAUUUCUGUCCACAUGCCUCAAGACACAUUGACACACAACCUUCCCCAAACAGAACCCUUUAUCUUCCCACUCACACUCCCUUGAUAUAGCCUAUGGCCCCAACACCAGCCCCACACCGUCCUAUACUCCUCCCUCUCCUCAUGGUCAAUGGCCCACAGACGCUUCCAAGUGGACCUCUUAAUCCCCAUCACAUCCAUUCCUUCUUCCUCAUCCUUAACAACACAUCAAGCUGUCCAGCACCACUUCUUGUUUCCUUUCUAGCCUCCCUUUCUCCCAUUUUCUCACAUUGCUGGAAUGAUCUUGCUAAAAUACAGUUUAGUUGUAUCUGCCCCCACCCCCAGCUCUGGGGGCUAUUACACAGAGCUGCUUAUCAUUUGCUGUAAUUGUCAUGCCCUUUCACAUAUCUAUGGCUUAGCUCAUAUCAUUCCCCUAGCCCAGAAUUAUUCUUUACCCUUUCUGCCUUAUCACAAACUGCCUGGAAAUAAUAAAGCUUAGAGCAGGGUGAAAAAUAUAGAGAACAGAAGAAUGAUAGAGAAAAUUAAUGAAACCAAAGUUGGUUCUUUGAAAUGAUAAAAAAAAUUUGACAAACCUUUAACUAGACUGCCAAAGGAAAAGAAAGAUUCAAAUUACUAAAAUCAAGAACGAAAGAGACAAUUCCAUCUGCAUAUUUUUCAAAUAUAGACAAGUUGAUCUUAUAAUUCAUAUGGGAUUAAAGGAGCCCAGAAUAGCCCAAACAAUCCUGGAAACAAGGUUGGAGGAUGC